AAGCAUGCAAGUCGAGCGGCAAGAUUAGUGCUUGCACUAAUCCUAGAGUGGCGGACUGGUGAGUAACGCGUGGGUGACGUACCCUUUUGAUGGGGAUAGCUACUAGAAAUAGUAGAUAAUACCGAAUACGAUUCCGUAAGUUAGAGGUGCGGAAUGAAAGGAGCUUCGGCUCCGCAGAAGGAACGGCCCGCGUACCAUUAGCUAGUUGGUGUGGUAACGGCAUACCAAGGCGAUGAUGGUUACCCGGCCUAAGAGGGUGAUCGGGCACAUUGGGACUGAGAUACGGCCCAGGCUCCUACGGGAGGCAGCAGCUAAGAAUAUUCCGCAAUGGA
RNAcentral lists this ribosomal RNA (332 nucleotides) under uncultured Treponema sp. Its description in RNAcentral is "bacterial SSU rRNA". It matches the Rfam family "Bacterial small subunit ribosomal RNA", at positions 51 to 375 of the family's 1533-position model. The record is from RNAcentral. Lineage: Bacteria; Pseudomonadati; Spirochaetota; Spirochaetia; Treponematales; Treponemataceae.